Molecule: non-coding RNA, 401 nt
Organism: Pocillopora verrucosa
Lineage: Eukaryota; Metazoa; Cnidaria; Anthozoa; Scleractinia; Pocilloporidae
Source: RefSeq, a predicted model, not a curated record
GAUAAAGGAUUAAUCCAUGGACUGCGCUGAUCAGUUGUCAUAACAUUAUAAACAAUUAAUAUCUCGACAGCCGAACCAUUCAUGGGUUGCUACUUGCCAUACGGCGUGUCUGGAACCUGCAAAUAUGUUUGUGAUCCUGGCGAAGAUAAAAUGUACGGCAUGCCAGACUGUGAGGGACGCAUCUGCUGUUACAAUGGCUUCGGCAAAUAAUCUCAUUUCUUGGAUGCGAAGACUUGAACCACUGAAAUGCUUAUGCUUUGACUGAAGAUCUACCGUGAAGAGAACCAUUCCUUGAGAUAUAGCUUAUAAUUACUUUUAGUCUGCUAGUAUUGCGUUAUGAGAUGUAUUGGGGCAACAUUUCGUAAAAGAAAGAAAUAAAAAGGGCCAGUCCAACGGGGAAA